AAAUUGAAGAGUUUGAUCAUGGCUCAGAUUGAACGCUGGCGGCAGGCCUAACACAUGCAAGUCGAACGGUAACAGGAAGCAGCUUGCUGCUUCGCUGACGAGUGGCGGACGGGUGAGUAAUGUCUGGGAAACUGCCUGAUGGAGGGGGAUAACUACUGGAAACGGUAGCUAAUACCGCAUAACGUCGCAAGACCAAAGAGGGGGACCUUCGGGCCUCUUGCCAUCGGAUGU
This 231-nucleotide ribosomal RNA is filed under the name Escherichia coli. RNAcentral's name for it is "partial 16S ribosomal RNA". It matches the Rfam family "Bacterial small subunit ribosomal RNA", at positions 1 to 228 of the family's 1533-position model. RNAcentral also lists the same sequence under 1 other name. Lineage: Bacteria; Pseudomonadati; Pseudomonadota; Gammaproteobacteria; Enterobacterales; Enterobacteriaceae. The record is from RNAcentral.